Molecule: long non-coding RNA, 756 nt
Filed under: Equus asinus (donkey)
Lineage: Eukaryota; Metazoa; Chordata; Mammalia; Perissodactyla; Equidae
Description: lncRNA (ENSEASG00005028174.1)
Source: RNAcentral
AAGUAUUUCUUUUAAAAAACCUACAGUUUUAGUUAAAAUUGUACAGAUUUAAUAUAAAAUUGUAGAAUACUCCAGUUUGAGUCUGGGGUACUGCGUGGUAGAUUUCUGGAUGAUCCCCUGCUUUAGAUGCCUUGUCAUACUUAGAAUUGUCCACCUAAUUUCUUUUUCUACAAUGCCAAGGUUUUUCUUGUACUUUUGGGAUCUUAUGCUAUUUGUAAACUAUUAGUAUCUGGUGUUAGAUUACUUUGUUUGAUUUUAGACAUUUGCUGAGUAGAUAAUAUGGGUAUUUUUCUGCGAGUAUUUAAACCAGGGAUUCAUGCGAAUCAGUUAUAAUUUCCUUUUGGAAAAAGUAUCCCGUGUUUGAAAGUUAGAAUCGGAUGCUAGGGUUGAGAUUUAGGAUUAUUACCAUAUAGGCUUGUUUGCAAACCAGUUAAUUUUUUCCUGGGGUUUUAACUGUUAACUCACCAGUUUGCUGCUGUUGAAAUAACAUACGAUAUCUCACAUAGAGAUUUAUUUUUCAAGGUGUCUCACUGGUCUCCUCUUGCACAAUGUCCAUACUUCAGGAUGUGUGGAAAGGAAAGCUACAAUGGAGCCCUUAUAGAUGUUUGAAGGCGAGUGGAAACAACACCCGCCUGUUGCACAUGGAUUUGUACGAAGGCCAGCCAGAUGACAUCUAAAGGAAGCUUAGAAGCUUGAAACAUCCUCCCUCAUUAAUAGUAAGUUUUCUCUUUUGGUAAUGUAAGUGCAAUUCAAGAC